RNAcentral lists this ribosomal RNA (425 nucleotides) under uncultured Methylocystis sp. RNAcentral describes it as "bacterial SSU rRNA". It matches the Rfam family "Bacterial small subunit ribosomal RNA", at positions 39 to 510 of the family's 1533-position model. Lineage: Bacteria; Pseudomonadati; Pseudomonadota; Alphaproteobacteria; Hyphomicrobiales; Methylocystaceae. The record is from RNAcentral.
GCGGCAGGCCUAACACAUGCAAGUCGAACGCCCUAGCAAUAGGGAGUGGCAGACGGGUGAGUAACGCGUGGGAACGUGCCUUUCGGUUCGGAAUAACUCAGGGAAACUUGAGCUAAUACCGGAUACGCCCUUCGGGGGAAAGAUUUAUUGCCGAAAGAUCGGCCCGCGUCCGAUUAGCUAGUUGGUGUGGUAAUGGCGCACCGAGGCGACGAUCGGUAGCUGGUCUGAGAGGAUGAUCAGCCACACUGGGACUGAGACACGGCCCAGACUCCUACGGGAGGCAGCAGUGGGGAAUAUUGGACAAUGGGCGCAAGCCUGAUCCAGCCAUGCCGCGUGAGUGAUGAAGGCCCUAGGGUUGUAAAGCUCUUUCGCCAGGGACGAUAAUGACGGUACCUGGAUAAGAAGCCCCGGCUAACUUCGUGCCA